UGGCCUCUGAGGUUCCUUCCAACUCGGCAUUCUGUAUUUGGUUUGAAAGGGAUCAGAGGUCAUU
This 64-nucleotide microRNA precursor is filed under the name Sarcophilus harrisii (Tasmanian devil). RNAcentral's name for it is "Sha-Mir-12316-P1-v2_pre stem-loop". Lineage: Eukaryota; Metazoa; Chordata; Mammalia; Dasyuromorphia; Dasyuridae. The record is from RNAcentral.